ACGCACUGUUCGUAAUCUGGUUCACUCUCCGUAUGAACUGUGGGUUCCAUUCCAGUGCCACAGUGAGCUCCAUUGAGGCAGGGGAGCAGAGCUGCUGUGACUGCUCCCUGUUCACUCUCUGGAAACAAGC
Molecule: small nucleolar RNA, 130 nt
Organism: Gasterosteus aculeatus aculeatus (three-spined stickleback)
Lineage: Eukaryota; Metazoa; Chordata; Actinopteri; Perciformes; Gasterosteidae
Source: Ensembl